Molecule: unclassified non-coding RNA, 243 nt
Filed under: fungal sp.
Lineage: Eukaryota; Fungi
Description: partial internal transcribed spacer region
Rfam family: Eukaryotic small subunit ribosomal RNA (bases 1-46)
Source: RNAcentral
AAGUCGUAACAAGGUUUCCGUAGGUGAACCUGCGGAAGGAUCAUUCACAAUAAGUGUUUGGUGAAUUGUGCAAGGGCAGCGCAGUCAACGAUCGGUGGUCCACACGGCCAUCGUCCGGGGGUCGCUACUCCCACGUGGGGCCUUAGUUCAUUCAGGUUGAACAUGAUGCAUGUCUACCGCGCCCGACGAAAGUCCGACGCACCCCUAACCGAACAACUGUUAACAAUGGAUAUCUUGGUUCUC